This 633-nucleotide ribosomal RNA is filed under the name uncultured bacterium. Its description in RNAcentral is "bacterial SSU rRNA". It matches the Rfam family "Bacterial small subunit ribosomal RNA", at positions 72 to 719 of the family's 1533-position model. The record is from RNAcentral.
UUAGGAGCUUGCUUUUGGAAGAUUCAGUGGCGAACGGGUGAGUAACACGUGAGCAACCUGCCUCAGAGUGGGGGAUAACGUUUGGAAACGAACGCUAAUACCGCAUAACGUACUAAAUUGCAUCAAUUUGGUACCAAAGGAGCAAUCCGCUAAGAGAUGGGCUCGCGUCCGAUUAGAUAGUUGGUGAGGUAAUGGCUCACCAAGUCGACGAUCGGUAGCCGGACUGAGAGGUUGAACGGCCACAUUGGGACUGAGACACGGCCCAGACUCCUACGGGAGGCAGCAGUGGGGAAUAUUGGGCAAUGGGGGAAACCCUGACCCAGCGACGCCGCGUGAGUGAAGACGGCCUUCGGGUUGUAAAGCUCUGUUGCAGAGGACGAUAAUGACGGUACUCUGUGAGGAAGCCACGGCUAACUACGUGCCAGCAGCCGCGGUAAUACGUAGGUGGCAAGCGUUGUCCGGAAUUACUGGGUGUAAAGGGAGCGUAGGCGGGGGCGCAAGUUGGGUGUGAAAUACCGCGGCUUAACCGCGGGACUGCAUCCAAAACUGUGUCUCUUGAGUGAAGUAGAGGUAGGCGGAAUUCCUAGUGUAGCGGUGAAAUGCGUAGAUAUUAGGAGGAACACCAGUGGCGAA